GAUGAACGCUGGCGGCGUGCCUAAUACAUGCAAGUCGAGCGAACAGACGAGGAGCUUGCUCCUCUGACGUUAGCGGCGGACGGGUGAGUAACACGUGGAUAACCUACCUAUAAGACGGGGAUAACUUCGGGAAACCGGAGCUAAUACCGGAUAAUAUAUUGAACCGCAUGGUUCAAUAGUGAAAUACGGUUUUGCUGUCACUUAUAGAUGGAUCCGCGCCGCAUUAGCUAGUUGGUAAGGUAACGGCUUACCAAGGCAACGAUGCGUAGCCGACCUGAGAGAGUGGUCGGCCACACGGGAAGGUGGACACGGUCCAUGCUCCUACGGGAGGCAGCAGUAGGGAAUGGUCCGCAAUGGGCGAAAGCCUGACGGAGUAGCGCCGCGUGAGUGAUGAAGGUCUUCGGAUCGUAAAACUCUGUUAUUAGGUAAGAACAAAUGUGUAAGUAACUAUGCACUUCUUGACGGUACCUAAUCAGAAAGCCACGGCUAACUACGUG
RNAcentral lists this ribosomal RNA (497 nucleotides) under uncultured bacterium. RNAcentral describes it as "partial 16S ribosomal RNA". It matches the Rfam family "Bacterial small subunit ribosomal RNA", at positions 28 to 507 of the family's 1533-position model. The record is from RNAcentral.